Molecule: ribosomal RNA, 481 nt
Filed under: uncultured bacterium
Lineage: Bacteria
Description: partial 16S ribosomal RNA
Rfam family: Bacterial small subunit ribosomal RNA
Source: RNAcentral
GAUGAACGCUGGCGGCGUGCUUAACACACGCAAGUCGAACGAAGCAUUUGCGACAGAUUUUUUCGGAAUGAAGUUGCUUAUGACUGAGUGGCGGACGGGUGAGUAACGCGUGGGUAACCUGCCUUGUACUGGGGGAUAGCAGCUGGAAACGGCUGGUAAUACCGCAUAAGCGCACAAUGUUGCAUGACAUGGUGUGAAAAACUCCGGUGGUAUAAGAUGGACCCGCGUCUGAUUAGCUAGUUGGUGAGAUAACAGCCCACCAAGGCGACGAUCAGUAGCCGACCUGAGAGGGUGACCGGCCACAUUGGGACUGAGACACGGCCCAGACUCCUACGGGAGGCAGCAGUGGGGAAUAUUGCACAAUGGAGGAAACUCUGAUGCAGCGACGCCGCUUGAGUGAAGAAGUAAUUCGUUAUGUAAAGCUCUAUCAGCAGGGAAGAUAGUGACGGUACCUGACUAAGAAGCUCCGGCUAAAUACGUG